CACCAUUGAGCUGCUGGAAAUCCUCAGGUCCAUCACCUACCAGCUUUUCAACUCCCUCUUCUCUCCACGCUACUGCUGCUCCUCCUAGGCCUGGAUGUAGCUCCAGUGCAGCAGCAUCUGAGCAUCAUCUGAUUGAGUAUGAGGACACAGAAAUGCCCCCUGGCCCAUCAGCCCCUCCUGCUAGUUCUCUACUCCCAAGUUCCACCAGCCUUUCAGCAGCUGUUUCUGCUGCUGCAACUGUUUCUCCUGGUCCAUCCGCAUCCCCACCAGUCACUCCUGCUGUAGCGCGGCGGGCUUUGGAUUUUCCGACCAGGGUGUUGUCUGGCCCAUCAGCCGUCACCACCAGCUCAGCCUCCAUGCUUCCUCUCCCCACCACCCUCUCGACCACUGUCCCUACAGCCACAGCUUCCUCUGGAUCACAGACCACC
This is a long non-coding RNA of Hippoglossus stenolepis (Pacific halibut), 428 nucleotides long. RefSeq lists it as uncharacterized. The transcript is spliced from 3 exons. The record is from RefSeq and is a predicted model, not a curated record. Lineage: Eukaryota; Metazoa; Chordata; Actinopteri; Pleuronectiformes; Pleuronectidae.